This 422-nucleotide ribosomal RNA is filed under the name uncultured bacterium. RNAcentral describes it as "bacterial SSU rRNA". It matches the Rfam family "Bacterial small subunit ribosomal RNA", at positions 355 to 774 of the family's 1533-position model. The record is from RNAcentral.
UGAGGAAUAUUGGGCAAUGCCCGCAAGGGUGACCCAGCAACGCCGCGUGGAGGAUGAAUGUCGUAAGAUUGUAAACUCCUGUUAGAGGGGAAGAAUAGUACCGGUUGGACCGGUAUAUGACUGUACCCUCAGAGAAAGCCCCGGCUAACUACGUGCCAGCAGCCGCGGUAGUACGUAGGGGGCAAGCGUUAUCCGGAGUUACUGGGCGUAAAGGGCGUGCAGGUGGCGUCUUAAGUCUGUUGUGAAAGCGCCUGGCUUAACCGGGCGAGGCCAAUGGAGACUGAGAGGCUGGAGGACGGCGGAGGGGUGUGGAAUUCCGGGUGUAGUGGUGAAAUGCGUAGAGAUCCGGAGGAACACCAGAGGCGAAGGCGGCACUCUAAGCCGUACCUGACACUGAGACGCGACAGCACGGAGAGCAAACG